GACGAACGCUGGCGGCGUGCCUAAUACAUGCAAGUCGAGCGGAACUGGGGGAGCUUGCUCCUUCCAGUUUAGCGGCGGACGGGUGAGUAACACGUGGGCAACCUGCCCUGCAGAUCGGGAUAACUCCGGGAAACCGGUGCUAAUACCGAAUAGUUUGGCGCCUCUCCUGAGGCGCUACGGAAAGACGGUUUCGGCUGUCACUGCAGGCUGGGCACGCGGCGCAUUAGCUAGUUGGUGGGGUAACGGCCCACCAAGGCGACGAUGCGUAGCCGACCUGAGAGGGUGACCGGCCACACUGGGACUGAGACACGGCCCAGACUCCUACGGGAGGCAGCAGUAGGGAAUCUUCCGCAAUGGACGCAAGUCUGACGGAGCAACGCCGCGUGAGUGACGAAGGUUUUCGGAUCGUAAAACUCUGUUGUGAGGGAAGAACACGUACCAACUAACUAUUGGUACCUUGACGGUACCUCACCAGAAAGCCACGGCUAACUACGUGCCAGCCGCCGCGGUAA
Molecule: ribosomal RNA, 512 nt
Filed under: uncultured bacterium
Lineage: Bacteria
Description: partial 16S ribosomal RNA
Rfam family: Bacterial small subunit ribosomal RNA
Source: RNAcentral